CCCUUAGAUGUUCUGGGCUGCACGCGCGCUACACCGAUGCAUUCAACGAGUCUAAAACCUGCUCUGAUAGGGGUGGGUAAUCUUUUGAAUGUGCAUCGUGAUUGGGAUAGAUGAUUGCAAUUUUUCAUCUUCAACGAGGAAUGCCUAGUAAACGCAAGUCAUCAGCUUGCAUUGAUUACGUCCCUGCCCUUUGUACACACCGCCCGUCGCUCCUACCGAUUGAAUGAUCCGAUGAAUAUCAUGGAUUGAGGAUGCAAGCAGGUUCGCCUGUCUUCAUCUUCGAGAAGUGAAGUAAAUCUUAUCAUUUAGAGGAAGGAGAAGUCGUAACA
This 329-nucleotide ribosomal RNA is filed under the name uncultured eukaryote. RNAcentral's name for it is "partial 18S ribosomal RNA". It matches the Rfam family "Eukaryotic small subunit ribosomal RNA", at positions 1470 to 1796 of the family's 1831-position model. The record is from RNAcentral.